Molecule: long non-coding RNA, 677 nt
Organism: Salmo salar (Atlantic salmon)
Lineage: Eukaryota; Metazoa; Chordata; Actinopteri; Salmoniformes; Salmonidae
Source: RefSeq, a predicted model, not a curated record
CCUACAGACGAAGAACCGUAUAUGUGACAUUUUUCAAAAAAACGAGAUAUACAUGAAAAAUCAUUAUUGGACACCCUUUUUCUAUAGUGAACCGGUUUCACAAGCUUUCCACGCGCUAAUUAACAAUAUGUUUAAAUUUAAAGAUAGGCUCUCGUGGAAUAACCGUUUAUGUGCACCACUCAGAAUGGACGGACAAGCGCACAACUUUUCUGUUGCUGAUGAAAAUCACCGAAAGGUGGGAAAGAAACGUAAAACAAAACUAAAAGAAUGGAAAGACAGGCAAAGGAAGAUCUUACGGGAUGCGGGAAAACCCUAUACAAAUCGUAAGGGUCAAGAAAAAACUGGGAAAAGCUGUCCAAAAGAGGGAAGAGCGUGUUCCACGACGUGCAGAAAGGAUUGUGGAAAGUUGAUUGAUGAGCGCAAGCUGCAUCUGUUCAACAGUUUCUACACUGUCCCAUACGAGAAACAACAAGCACAACCAGCAAAACCAUUCAAGGUGAUGAGGAUGCAAUGUGAAGACUUCAGUCACCUCCCAGAUUCUGUUCUCAAGCGACCAGCUGGACUACAGACCACUUCAGUGAGGUGGUUAAAAGUCACAUGUAUUGCACAGAGAAUAGUUUACUAACAUCCCAUCAACAUGCAACAUGUUGUUCUAACAAUAAAAUAUCCUAAUGAUU